RNAcentral lists this ribosomal RNA (460 nucleotides) under uncultured bacterium. Its description in RNAcentral is "partial 16S ribosomal RNA". It matches the Rfam family "Bacterial small subunit ribosomal RNA", at positions 338 to 795 of the family's 1533-position model. The record is from RNAcentral.
CCUACGGGAGGCAGCAGUGAGGAAUAUUGGUCAAUGGGCGCGAGCCUGAACCAGCCAAGUAGCGUGAAGGAUGACUGCCCUACGGGUUGUAAACUUCUUUUAUAGAGGCAUAAAGUGAGGCACGUGUGCCUUUUUGUAUGUACUUUAUGAAUAAGGAUCGGCUAACUCCUUGCCAGCAGCCGCGGUAAUACGGAGGAUCCGAGCGUUGUCCGGAUUUUUUGGGUUGAAAGGGAGCGUAGAGUGGUUGUUAAGUCAGUUGUGAAAGUUUGCGGUUCAACCGUAAAAUUGCAAUUGAUACUGGCAGUCUUGAGUACAGUUGAGGUAGGCGGAAUGCGUGGUGUAGCGGUGAAAUGCUUAGAUAUCACGAAGAACUCCGAUUGCGAAGGCAGCUUACUAAACUGCCACUGACAUUGAUGCUCGAAAGUGUGGGUAUCAAACAGGAGUAGAUACCCCUGUAGUC